Numida meleagris (helmeted guineafowl) is the source of this 5261-nucleotide long non-coding RNA. RefSeq lists it as uncharacterized. The record is from RefSeq and is a predicted model, not a curated record. NCBI's taxonomy places the organism in Eukaryota, Metazoa, Chordata, Aves, Galliformes, Numididae. The transcript has 11 exons.
AAAUUUGAUUGGCCAAAGGGUACUUUUGCAGGUAUGGAAAGACAUCUUGAGGAACAGUGGAAGAGGAUGUUUGAUUUACAUUUCUUUAGAAGGAACUUUUCCAACUACACUUUGAUACAGUGAUAAGAUUGCAGCAGAGGGGCAGUCUGACAAAAUGGUGUCUGACAUGGAAGUGCGUAUGAAGCAAAGGUGCCAUUACAAUGUGCAGUUUAUUUAAGUAUCCCUUGAGGAAGUGGGAGGAUAUGAAAAAUAUUGAGAUUUAUUUAAAUGAUACCUGACAGCUACCACAAGCCAUGCAGGAUUUUAAAGAAAUUCGAAAUAUGAGAUGUGGAGAACAGAAUGAAUAUUUCCAAUGACCGUAAGCUAAAUGAAACCAUUUUCUCUAUUUGUUCUUUCCAAAUUCAUCAGUGCAUAGAGCCUAUUUUAUUGCACAGUGGAAAGCACUUAGCAGUGAAGGAUUAAUUCUCACUACUUCCUUGGGAAUAGCAGGAAAAACCCUUGGAGAAUUUGUACUGUGCUAGCUUGUGAAGCUUCAUGAAACUGUAAUGUGAGCAUUGAAAUUCUGGUACAGCACUUUCAGAUCUUUCCUGUAUCUUCCAUUCUUCCUAUCAUGAUCUUGGAAAAUGGAAGACAGCAUGAGGAAUAAGAGAAAGCAGGAUGGAGUGAGACACAAAUUGGGACACAUAUAUAGAGACAUAAAGACAGUCCCACACUGAAGAACCACAAACUCCAAAAAUAAAACAAAACUGUUACAGUUUAAGGAAGCCUGUGAAAAUUCCAAGUACCCACAUACUUCCCUGGAAAAGACGUGUUUGGCAAUGGAGAAGAUUAUAGAGGAAACUCAGAUCAGCUCUUAAUAGCUCAAAAUCCCCUCCUUUCUCUUCUUGUUGUCUGCUUGAAAAAGUUGAAUCACAAGUUUGUAAGCGCAGAAGAAAAAAUAAAAUACUGCCUCUAGAGCUCUCAUCAAAAGCUUGCUUUCAACAAAUAUUCUAAUGAGAGAUUUUAAACAGUUUACAAGCCAGGUGUGAUGAAGAUUUUAUUCCAAUGUACUUCAGAGACUAGGGCCUGAUUUUUGAAACUGCUCUUGGAGAAAUGUUGCCAGCUGUAGUUGUGCCAAAGAAGAUACCCAGGCUCAGAAAGAAACAAGCCACAGCCAAUGAACUUAUUUCACGAGCUGGCCAAAUGGACAGCUACCACAUAUGCCCUGCCCUUUAUAGAUUUCUGUACCUCUGUGAAACUAAAUUAAGACAGGCUUAUCCAAGAUGGCAGAUUCUUCCAACAUUUCUGAGACAGCUGCAUUUAUUGAGAUUCCAUGCAAAAUCUGGCGGAAUACCUGUCAUUGCAGCAGAUGAAUCAAAAUAUGUAUUUUGGAUUUAGAAGAAAUGAAGUUCAUCUUACAAUACAGCUAUAAAUUAAAUUUAUACAAUGUUGCCUAUGUAAAGUAUCUCAAAGUACUUCAUAUUAAAAAUACCUCAGACAAAAAUUUAGAACUCUACUGAACUUGAAAUUGAGAAGUGAGUCUUAAAAUUAAAUGGAAAAGUUCUUUCUCUUCCCCUCAAAGAACUUUGCUGAGUUGACAGUUCUGAUAUGUGAAGGAAGUGAAUCUCAUAGACAAGUGGUUUAAAAAACAGAAGACAAAACCAGCAUUGAAAGGAUAUAGGGUAAACUAAGGGUCAGUUGGAAACCUCUGAGCAGAAAACUUCAGUCAGUACAAAGCAGAGAAUAUCGAUAUAAUUGAAAAUGGAUGAAAAAAGGCUGUGAAUUGCUUUUAAAAAGUAAUAGGGCAGUUUGAUGAAGUGAAGCGGGCAAAAAGCAGAUUAGAAGAGAGCAAGGAAAAAGUUACCUAGAAAGAACUCUUAGCAUGUAGAAAUCAACAGCUCACUUCAGAAUUUUUUAGACUGAAUGGAAUAUAUUUUUUUUGCUUGUUUUGUUUUGUCUUCAGGAUGGGAAAGCAGAGAGUAGAGGAGCUUCUUAUUGCUUCUUAAAACUGCCUCCCGCCUGGAACCACAAACAGACAUAUAUUUCCUUGUUAGAGAGGUGAUAUCACAGAAUAAACAUUACCUAAUAAGAAACAAGACUAAAAAGGAAAAAAAAGAAGAGAGUAGUAGAUGAAAUGAAUGCUGAAAAAGCAGAAAUAUCUUAAGCAUUAAGGAAAGCUAUCAUUUGGACUGGUAAAAUAAUUUGGCUUCUACAGCUAUAAUUCUCUUAAAAUUACUAGAGUAUUCCUCUCCAGCAGUUGAUACCAGCAAGGUGCUUUCUACAGCUACCUGAAGGGAGGUUGUAGUGUGGUGGGAGUCAGCUUCUUUUCCCAAGUAGCAGUGAUAGGAAGUGAGGUUAUGGCUUUAAGUUGUGUCAGGGGAGGUUCAGUUUGGAUAUGAGGAAAAAUUUCUUUUCAGAAAGAGCUGUGAGGCAUUGGAUCAGGCUGCCCAGGGAAGUGUCAGAGUCCCCAUGCCUGAAGGUAUUCAAGAAAAGAGUAGAUAUUGUGCCGACAUGAUCUAGAGUGGUCCCAGGCAUGGGCUGGUGAUUGGUCUAGAUGAUCUUAUUGGUCUUUCCAAAGUUAACGAUUCUAAGGCAGCAGCAUCUAUCAAAACUGGCCUAUUUUGAACUAUGUAGGCUGCUGCAAUGGUCUAUUAAGAAAGGAAUGCAGAGAAGGGUACAUGCACUUCUUCAUUUGAUUUGUGUUUUCAUGUCCUGUUUAAAGCUCGUGAGCAAACUGAUGUGAUAGUGAAAAACUUGUAUUAUUUUUCACAACUUAGCUUGAGUCAGGCAGUUUAUUUUUAAGGCAAGAAUUGACUUUGUGUCAACAGACAUCUAGAUUUAUGUUCUGAAUCUGACUUUUUCAAGAUGUGGAUUUCUACCACACUCCGUAUGUGCAGUUUGCUAUAGAACUGAAAGAAAUUUGUCAGUGCACUUCUGAAUAAAAUGUGGGGAUCAUACAGUAGGGGUAAUAAUCUAAGCGAUCCCACUGAUGAAUGCUGUUUGAAGUUAAGGAAGUCAGGCAGAUAAAUAGAUAGGUAAUAUUAUAAACAAAAAUUUCAAAAAUUGUGAAUGUAGCUUUAGAAUCCUGUAUCCUGACAAGUUGCUGAUGUUUUGCAUCAGUUAAAAUCUGUUUGUUUGUUAUAUAAUUGUUUAAAUAUGGACUUUGUUAAUGAUUUUAGUUGUUUUACAUAUUACAGGUACACAGUAUAAUUAAUCAGCUGAACACUCCAAAAAAAAUUAUACGUGAACAAAUAGUUUUCUAAGAGGAAUCCAUCUGGAAGGCAGUAUAUGGCACACAUAAUGCACAGAAUGGGUAGGAGGUGUUCUCUUCAGUCUACGUCUGCAAACUGUAGUGUAUUGAGAAUGUUAAUUAUCAGUCUGCUUCCCUACACUGUCAUGGGAGAAUUGUGAAGGCAGUACUUCAGAGGCAGAUUGGUCUUUACUUUGAUAAUUUUUGUAUGGUCUUAUCUUUAACUUCCUUGACUUCUUUAUAUUUGCACCUCGGAAAAUGACACUCCAACUUUCCUUUUCUUUUAUAACUUUCCUCUGUAGGAAAGGUGAAGAAUAGCAUUUUGUCAGGUAAGUGUAAAAGAAAUAUUAAUCCAGUAACAAAGGAAAUGAGGUUUUGAGUCUUUCUCUGCUCAAACUCUUGGAUUCCUCCAAAGUGAAAUCCAAAUACCCAGAUUGUCAAUGAGUGAGACAUAAAGCUAGGUGCUUGCUUCACUUCUAGACAUUCAUGGUAGGAAAACUGUUGAAAGUUGCAUGUAAAUUUUAGGGAAACAACACACACAUUAAAACAAACAAACAAAAGCUGGAAAGCAGUGUGGAUAUCUGAGUUGUCUUUGGAAUUGGAAAUGAACCAUCUCCAUCAACCCAGUUGCUUUGUUCACUUCUGCACUGUGCUGUGUGUUCACCCUUAUUCCCGUGCUUCACUAACUAGGACAGCUCCAAGGGCAAAUCCUGCAAGAAAUGUUGUCUGUUCAACUAAGAUCCCAUUUUUAUUUUUUUCUGAAAAGGGUGGACUUAUCUGCUUCACAUAUUGGGAACAUGGCUCCUAUCACACCAUACCUUAAAAUGUGCCCAGACUUUUUCUGGAAGGCUGUUAGCUGGCAUAUGCCAAAACCUCACCAGGCAGUUGGAUUGCAGUUACACAGUAUGGGAUAUCGUAUCCCAUGUUCAGCCUUGAACUCAUGAGCUGCCUGAGCUGUACCUAUUGUAAUAGACACAAUAACAGUGUGCACAUGCCUAGAGGGCACAGAAGUAGUUUUAAUGUUCUCCAUGACUUAGCCACUUAUGUGCCAUCUGUAAGUGCCCAUGGGACUUUUUUAAAUUAUCAACCUGAACACUUCCACCUUAAGAUAAACACUGUCUAGAGAACUCAGUAUUACCAUUGUGUGGUCUGGCUCCCUAUAUUCCAUAAAAAAUAAUAGAUAAUUUUUAGGGAUUUGAGAUGAAAAUUGGAGAUUAGUUGGACCGUGCCUAAGGCCAAGCGUAGCAUAAAUAUUCCUUACAAGAUGAGAACUAUAGUCAACUGUAAAAACAUAUGGAAGAACAAUAUGUUCAUUCACAGACACCACAUAUUUCAGAAGAACAAAUUAGAUAGUCUGUGCUACCACAUAGCUGUGAAAUGGUAGUUGAGAGGUAGGAACUAACCAGUAUUUGAAAAAUUAAGUAAGAUACAGAGUACUUGAGCCCUGAAGAAUUAGGAGAUAUUGAGGAUUAUUCUUCCAACAGUACAUAUUCUGAGUAGUUAUAAGUGUUUUAAGUUCCAGGUAUACCAUUCCUUUAUCAGUAGAAAUUUUUUUAUUGUAGUUUUCUGGAUAAUGUUUACCUUGAGUGCAUUCUUUAAGUGGGAGAUUUCUCCACAGGAUCCUAUAGUGUUGUUCAGGAAAAAAAAUACAUUAAACAUUUAAACUAACUAAAUAGAUUUCCUGAAUCUAUCAACUUGGAUACACUGAGCUUAUCUAAGAUGGCAAAAGGUACAGAUCAGAGAAUCUAAAAAUACUUUAAAGUCACAUUUAGUGACACCUACUUAAUGAAAAGAGAAGCAAUUGGAAUUGUGGUAUAAGCAAUAUAUGCAAUACGGUACUGUGCUUUAAAAUCAUAGAAUCAUUGAAUGGCUUGGGUUGGAAAGGACCCAAGGAUCAACAAGUUCCAACCCCGCUGCCACAGGCAGGGCCACCAACCUACAGAUCUGGCACUAGACCAGGUUGCCCAGGGCUCCGUCCAACCUGGUCCUGAACACCUCCAGGGAUGGAGCAUCCACAGCCUCUCUGGGCAGC